UCCACCUUCUGUGGGGACACGGUGCCACCCCUGCACAGUGCCAGCCCACAGGCCCUCACCAACCAGACCCCCAAUAUCCAGGUGUCCAUCCCCCAGACUCUCGCCAGCCAAGUCCCCAACCCACCCGGAGGGACCAAAGAUAGCGCCCUCUGCUGUUCAGAAGCAGCCAGUGAAGUCAGUGAAUGGCUACUACCAGCUGACUGGCGUAGUCUCUCAUUUGGGAGGCUCCGCAAACUCCGGGCACUACAUUAGUGACAUCUUGAAUGCCAGUGGAAACUGGUUCUGCUGUAACGACAGCCAAGUGUCAAUGUCCAAUGAAGCCACUGUGCUGAGGACCAGAGCCCGGAGUGCUUACCUGCUCUUCUAUAUGUUCAGGGCAGGAGAGAAUUAGGCCCCAGCACACAGGGCCUAACAGGGCCUCCAGCACCAGCCUCAACAGGGGCAGCACCUGGACCAGCCUCCACACACCAAGCUCAGCCUCAAAAGGCUCAGCCCAGUCUCAACAGGGGUUGUACAGGCCUAGACUAAAUACCCUCAGCCCAGCUUCAACAGUGGUAGUCCUAGGCCCAGCUUUAACACCCCCAGCCCUGCCUCAACAGGGGCAGCACCAAGCCCGGCUUCAACACUCCCUGCCCAGCCUCAACAAGGGGGGUGGGGGUGUUAUGAUCACUACUGGCUUCUUCUCAUGGAACUGGCACAUUGAAAAGAGACCUGGUGUUUGGGAAAGAAGACUGAAACCUCCUGCUCCGACUGAGGAGGAUGAAGAACAAGGUGCGCUGCCUAUGGGACUGUGCCACCUCUGAUCAGGUCCAGACACGUGAUUACUGUGCAGCCCCUGAACCCGCAGCCCUGGACACGGCCCUAAUGGCAAAUCAUGAGCACGUAAGAGAAAUUGAGGAGCUUCGAGCCAAGCUGGAGAAACUGACCGCCCAACACGGCUUUGGUGCGAAGUUUACAUACACCUUAGCCAAAUACAUUUAAACUCAGUUUUUCACAAUUCCUGACAUUUAAUCCUAGUAAAAAUUCCCAGUCUUAGGUCAGUUAGGAUCAUCACUUUAUUUUAAGAAUGUCAAAAUGUCAGAAUAAUAGAAAUUAUUUAUUUAAGCUUUUAUUGCUUUCAUCACAUUUUUAGUGGGUCAGAAGUUUACAUACACUCAAUUAGUAUUUGGUUGCAUUGCCUUUAAAUUAUUUAACUUGGGUCAAACAUUUCAGGUAGCCUUCCACAACAAGUUGGGUGAAUUUUGGCCCAUUUCUGCUGACAGAGCUGGUGUAACGGAGUCAGUUUUGUUGGCCUCCUAGCUUGCACACACUUUUUCUGUUCUGCCCACAAAUGUUCUAUAGGAUUAAGGUCAGGGCUUUGUGAUUGCCACUCCAAUACUGUAACGGCUUUCUACUGGUGAAGGAGAGUCGGACCAAACUGCAGCGUGUAGAUUUCGAUCCAUGUUUAAUAAAACAACUUAACACGAAUCAACACACAAACUCAACAAAACAAUAAAUGAAACGAAAACCGAAAACAGCCUAUACAUGUGUCUACAAACCUCUAACAAGGACAUCAAGACACACAGGACAA
This is an RNA transcript of Oncorhynchus nerka (sockeye salmon), 1570 nucleotides long. It is a transcript of the gene named ubiquitin carboxyl-terminal hydrolase 37-like, with no coding region annotated. The transcript is spliced from 5 exons. NCBI's taxonomy places the organism in Eukaryota, Metazoa, Chordata, Actinopteri, Salmoniformes, Salmonidae. The record is from RefSeq and is a predicted model, not a curated record.